CCUACGGGAGGCAGCAGUGAGGAAUAUUGGUCAAUGGACGAGAGUCUGAACCAGCCAAGUAGCGUGAAGGAUGACUGCCCUAUGGGUUGUAAACUUCUUUUAUAUGGGAAUAAAAUGUUCCAAGUGUGGGAUUUUGUAUGUACCAUAUGAAUAAGGAUCGGCUAACUCCGUGCCAGCAGCCGCGGUAAUACGGAGGAUCCGAGCGUUAUCCGGAUUUAUUGGGUUUAAAGGGAGCGUAGGUGGAUUGUUAAGUCAGUUGUGAAAGUUUGCGGCUCAACCGUAAAAUUGCAGUUGAAACUGGCAGUCGUGAGUACAGUAGAGGUGGGCGGAAUUCGUGGUGUAGCGGUGAAAUGCUUAGAUAUCACGAAGAACUCCGAUUGCGAAGGCAGCUCACUGGACUGCAACUGACACUGAGGCUCGAAAGUGUGGGUAUCAAACAGGAUUAGAUACCCUAGUAGUC
RNAcentral lists this ribosomal RNA (460 nucleotides) under uncultured bacterium. RNAcentral's name for it is "partial 16S ribosomal RNA". It matches the Rfam family "Bacterial small subunit ribosomal RNA", at positions 338 to 795 of the family's 1533-position model. The record is from RNAcentral.